RNAcentral lists this transfer RNA (70 nucleotides) under Bacteroidaceae bacterium. RNAcentral's name for it is "tRNA-OTHER". It matches the Rfam family "tRNA". Rfam says of the family: Transfer RNA (tRNA) molecules are approximately 80 nucleotides in length. Their secondary structure includes four short double-helical elements and three loops (D, anti-codon, and T loops). The record is from RNAcentral. Lineage: Bacteria; Pseudomonadati; Bacteroidota; Bacteroidia; Bacteroidales; Bacteroidaceae.
CGCAGGGUAGGCUAAGGCAGACCGCGAUGCACAGGCAUACGAGAUAGGGGUUCGAGUCCCUUCCCUGCGA